GUGCCCUGUCCUGUAGCCCUAAAAUGAUAAUGUGCGGUGUGCCCUGUCCUGUCGCUCUAAAAUGAUAAUGUGCUGUGUGCCCUGUCUUAUGGCACUGGUAUCUCUGUAUACUGUGCUGGGUACUGUCUCUUUCAUAUCCCUAGACACUGAGCUAAGUGCCCGCUAUGCAAAGAUCAUGUGCCACUUAUGGCACCCCUGGAACUAUAGAGUGUUCUCUCUGAUGUCUUUCCUACCAGCAUGUGCCCUCAGUGAUACACCGGUUAGUUGUUUGCAACCUCUCCAAUGCCCUACAAGCAUACAAUGCCACCUGUGGUACCCCAUGCAAGCAUAUUGU
Non-coding RNA from Pelobates cultripes (western spadefoot toad), 334 nucleotides. Lineage: Eukaryota; Metazoa; Chordata; Amphibia; Anura; Pelobatidae. The record is from the annotation of a GenBank genome assembly.